GACGAACGCUGGUGGCGUGCCUAAUACAUGCAAGUAGAACGCUGAAGCGAGGAGCUUGCUCUUCUUGGAUGAGUUGCGAACGGGUGAGUAACGCGUAGGUAACCUGCCUUGUAGCGGGGGAUAACUAUUGGAAACGAUAGCUAAUACCGCAUAACAAUGGAUGACCCAUGUCAUUUAUUUGAAAGGGGCAAAUGCUCCACUACAAGAUGGACCUGCGUUGUAUUAGCUAGUAGGUGAGGUAACGGCUCACCUAGGCGACGAUACAUAGCCGACCUGAGAGGGUGAUCGGCCACACUGGGACUGAGACACGGCCCAGACUCCUACGGGAGGCAGCAGUAGGGAAUCUUCGGCAAUGGGGGCAACCCUGACCGAGCAACGCCGCGUGAGUGAAGAAGGUUUUCGGAUCGUAAAGCUCUGUUGUAAGUCAAGAACGAGUGUGAGAGUGGAAAGUUCACACUGUGACGGUAGCUUACCAGAAAGGGACGGCUAACUACGUG
This 497-nucleotide ribosomal RNA is filed under the name uncultured bacterium. Its description in RNAcentral is "partial 16S ribosomal RNA". It matches the Rfam family "Bacterial small subunit ribosomal RNA", at positions 28 to 507 of the family's 1533-position model. The record is from RNAcentral.